CAAUAGCGUAUAUUAAAGUUGUUGCGGUUAAAAAGCUCGUAGUUGGAUUUCUGCCGAGGACGACCGGUCCGCCCACUGGGUGUGUAUCUGGCUUGGCCUUGGCAUCUUCUUGGAGAACGUGCUGCAUUUGACUGUGUGGUACGGUAUCCAGGACCUUUACUUUGAGAAAAUUAGAGUGUUUCAAGCAGGUUUUGCAGGAAUACAUUAGCAUGGAAUAAUAUCAAACAGCUAGAAUGUUGGUCAAGUUCUAGAGUGUGAUUAAUAGGGAUAGUUGGGGGCAUUAGUACUUAAUUGUCAGAGGUGAAAUUCUUGGAUUUUUUAAAGACUAACUUAUGCGAAAGCAUUUGCCAAGGAUGUUUUCAUUNA
Molecule: ribosomal RNA, 366 nt
Filed under: uncultured eukaryote
Lineage: Eukaryota
Description: partial 18S ribosomal RNA
Rfam family: Eukaryotic small subunit ribosomal RNA
Source: RNAcentral